This 290-nucleotide RNase P RNA is filed under the name Halobacteriovoraceae bacterium. RNAcentral's name for it is "RNase P RNA component class A". It matches the Rfam family "Bacterial RNase P class A". Rfam says of the family: Ribonuclease P (RNase P) is a ubiquitous endoribonuclease, found in archaea, bacteria and eukarya as well as chloroplasts and mitochondria. Its best characterised activity is the generation of mature 5'-ends of tRNAs by cleaving the 5'-leader elements of precursor-tRNAs. Cellular RNase Ps are ribonucleoproteins. Lineage: Bacteria; Pseudomonadati; Bdellovibrionota; Bacteriovoracia; Bacteriovoracales; Halobacteriovoraceae. The record is from RNAcentral.
CGAGAAAGACUGACUAUCGCGAGGGCAACUUCGAGGAAAGUCCGGGCACCACAGAGCAUCGUAGCGGGUAAUUCCCGUCCACCGUGAGGUGAGGACAAGUGCAACAGAAAGCAAGUACAGUUCGGCUGUAGUGAAAUCAGGUAAACUCUACGAGGUGCAAGCUCAAAUAGGCCAGUGCUAGAUUGCGGCUCGCAAAAGCUGGCGGGUAGAGUGCUUGAGCUCCAAGGUAACUUGGAGCCUAGAUGAAUGAUAGUCCUUAGACAGAACCCGGCUUAUUUCUUUCUCGGUUU